This is an RNA transcript of Fundulus heteroclitus (mummichog), 2040 nucleotides long. It is a transcript of the gene named ring finger protein 214, with no coding region annotated. Lineage: Eukaryota; Metazoa; Chordata; Actinopteri; Cyprinodontiformes; Fundulidae. The record is from RefSeq and is a predicted model, not a curated record. The transcript has 7 exons.
CCGCCGGAUGGUUUUCAGAGAAACACAAACAUCCGUUUGAUCCACUGGCGGAGACUGUUAAACGCGGCUUAAAAUAGUUAAAUACAUCAAUUUUUAUUCCGUAAAGACGGGUUUUUUUUAACGGAGAGAGCCCGGUCUGUCAUCCCGCUCAGCUGUCACUAAGUCGGCGGUUUGUCUGCAUCCGGAAGUCUUCAGUUUUUGUAGUUCAGCUAAUAGCAUGGAUGCUAGCUGGGAAACCAUCGCUGACAGCGAGGAGGACGAGGAGCUGGGGCACUGGACCAAGGACGACCUGGACCUGGACCUGGUCCGGAAACUGGAACUGGACCAGGACCUGGACCGGGACCUGGUUCGGAAACUGGCUGGAAUGACGGUCGAAGACCCCCUCCAGAAGGUCCAGGCCGUGCAGACGGACCGCACCACCACCGAGUCCACCGUCAACACAGAGCCCGGCUGGGAGAGCCGGGCGGCCGACGUGUUCCUGAGCCACUGCCGGCUGAGGGAGCAGUACGAGGAGCUGCAGAAGGAGCGGCGCGAGGAGAAGGAGGCGCAGGAGAGGCGCAGAGCGCAUCUGAAGAGGAGGAAGGAGGAGGGCGUCCAUCAGCACCAGGCUCUGCUGGAGAAGCUGGAGUCGCUGCGGGUGAAGCUGCAGCUCAACAACUCCAAGGCCACCAGGAAGAACUUCGAGAGCAAGAAACGGGAGCUGAUGGCAGAGAGGAGCAGAGCAGAGGAGGAGAGGAACAGACUGGCCCGGGAGCUGGAGGAGAGCGAGCAGAAGCUGGCGACGCUGAGCGAGGAUGAGAGCGAGGAGCGGCGCAGGUGGAGGGAGGAGCUGGAGCAGCUGAGGGCGGAGGCGGAGCGGCUGAAGGAGGAGGCGCAGACGGCCCAGCUGAAGGCCUUAGGGGACGAGAUGGCGGCCGUGGAGAAGCAGCGAGACGUGGCCGUGUCCCGGAUCGAGGCGUGGCUCCAAGAGGUGGCGCAGUACCUGAACGUCCUGCGGGUCGAGUUCCCCCAGCAGUACCACCACGAUCGGGGGAAGUGGGAGAAGAAGGAGGUUCUGGUGCGGAAGAGCCAGGCGGAGCUGCAGAGCCGCUUCCAGGAGGUUCUGCAGCAGCUGCAGCAGGGCCAGGAGCUGGAGGCGCUGCCCAGGAUCAACGUGCCGUCGCUGCCUCAGGUCCCCAUGGCCGACCUCAGGUUCAAGCAGGCGAUGCAGGCGCUGGUCCAGCCCAGGAUGAUGCCGCCCCCGACCCCCCCACAUCCCCACUACCCCCCACAUAGAGACCCACAUUACUACAACACGCGCCACAGGCACCCCCACCCUCGCCUCCCCAUGUACCGCUUCCACCCGCCGCCCCACUGCCCUCCACCUUACGUCGAGACGAUGCCGCAGCAUCAGUACCACACCAGAGCCCCGCCCCCCAGCCUGUCCCCGUCUCCCCCCGUGGUUCCCUCGCCCCCGCCCCCGGCCGCCGCCCCGCCGGCCUCGACCGAGGUUCUGGAGAAGCUCCUGGAGAAGCUGGGCUCCAGGUUCCCGCAGUGCAGCAAGCAGCAGCUGAUGGUGCUGCUGCAGCAGGUGAAGAGCUCCCGCGGCAAGCUGGCCGGCAUCACCAUGGAGGACCUGGUGGAGCAGAUCGCCUUCAAGCUGAGCCAGAGCGAGCGCUCCGCCCCGGGGCCCAUCGGCCGGCCCGCUCCGGGGCCCAUCCAGAGGCCCGGGCUUCCCCCGCAGAGAGACGCUGCCCACUCCGCCGCCGCCGCACCUUCUCCCCCCGCCGGGCCCCGAAAACUCUGCCUCAUGUGCCAGAACCACGUGGAGCCGGAGCACCGGCACCCGCUGGCCUGCUCCCACACCAUCCACCGGGACUGCAUCCAGAUGUGGCUGCAGUCCAGCCAGAACAACUCCUGCCCCUUCUGUCCGGGCCAGUGAUUGGUCGGUUCUGUCCCCCCGGGUCAGUGAUUGGUCGGUUCUGUCCCCCCGGGCCCCAUUUCAACUGGUCUUGGUUCCUGUUUUCUGCUCUAGGUUCUCGAUUUAAACGGAGGAACCGA